GUGGGGAAUAUUGGACAAUGGGCGAAAGCCUGAUCCAGCCAUGCCGCGUGAGUGAUGAAGGCCUUAGGGUUGUAAAGCUCUUUCAGUAGGGAAGAUAAUGACGGUACCUACAGAAGAAGCCCCGGCUAACUUCGUGCCAGCAGCCGCGGUACUACGAAGGGGGCUAGCGUUGUUCGGAUUUACUGGGCGUAAAGCGCACGUAGGCGGAUUGGUCAGUUAGAGGUGAAAUCCUGGAGCUCAACUCCAGAACUGCCUUUAAUACUGCCAGUCUAGAGGCCAGAAGAGGUGAGUGGAACUCCUAGUGUAGAGGUGGAAUUCGUAGAUAUUAGGAAGAACACCAGUGGCGAAGGCGGCUCACUGGUCUGGUACUGACGCUGAGGUGCGAAAGCGUGGGGAGCAAACAGGAUUAGAAACCCCAGUAGUCC
Molecule: ribosomal RNA, 425 nt
Filed under: uncultured bacterium
Lineage: Bacteria
Description: partial 16S ribosomal RNA
Rfam family: Bacterial small subunit ribosomal RNA
Source: RNAcentral